CCGCUCCCCGCCGCCGGGCUCACCAGCUGCCAGAGGUCCCCGGCGCCCGGCGGGGCGGCCGCCGCCAUCGGCUCCGGCCCCGAACCGCCGCCCGGCCGCGGCGGGGCGGGCAGACAAAUCGUAAUUCCGCCAGGCAGCAACUAAAUCGGGAUGCUGAAGUUCACUCUUCAGAGGCCGCAGGAUUUCUUAGGGCAGAAGUGAUGAAUUAAAUGAUGACAAAUGCUUGUUGACAGACAAGGCCCGAGUUUUGGGUUUGUAGUUUGUUUUUUUGUUGUGUUUUCUUUUUGUUUGUUUGUGUUUGUUUGUUUGUUUUUUGUUUUGUUUUGUUUUGUUUUUCUUUUAAGGCUUAUUUCCUCUUUCCCAUAUAAUUUUGUAAUACAGAGUGGUAAAGCCACGGUGCUUGUUGAAGUCCCUUGUACCAGGACAUCUAAAGAGAGGAGUGAAGGCAUCAGCAAGGAUUGAGCAGCGCCUUUUGCAGUCAUGUAGCUCACCCCUGCGGUUUUCAGCUGUCCUGGUUUCGGCUGGGAUAGAGCUGAUUUUCUGCCUUAGCUAGAAAAGUGCUGUGUUUGCAUUCAGUGUGGGAUUUGGUAGGAGAGGAAUGUUGAUAAUACACUGAUGUUUUUAGCUGUUGCUAAGAAAUCCAGGACUUUUCAACUCCCCCUGUCCUGCCUGUGCACAGGUGCUAUAAGGGAGCACAGCACCAGACCCAAACAGGCCAAGGGAAUAUUCCGUAUCAUCAGAUGUCCUGCUCAGAGUAUAGAUGAAGACUGGCCAGGAAGCCGGGGCUCGCUUUCUAUUCCGGGAUUUCGGUUUCAGGAUCUUCCCUCCAGUGGGGACACAAGGGAAGGUUGGUGAGGAGGACUGUAAACGCGCUCAGGUCACUUGCAGCUGGGGUGUCAAAAAAUCUGUGUCGUACUAAUUGCUGUUUAGCUUUGUGUGCUUGACAGGUAGAAUGUCUGCGUUUAGGUAACACCGGUCUGUGAGAGACUCGGGGACACUUUAUCAAACAUCCUUGAGAUUCUGGCCCUGCUGUGGGAAAGAUCAGAGCGCAGUAGAGAACUACCCCUGUGAAAAUCCCUGAUAAAAACAGGUGAAAGCAGCCAGUUUGAGACCUUUUCUUUCUUCUCCUCUUCCUGGCUUAGCAAGGACCGAGCUCCGCGGUGCCAACAUCCCCGCUUGCGUGCCUCUGCCCGGGUGCUGCUGUGGAAAUCCCCUGGGUCGUGAGGUAACACCAAUAAAUUUCCUCUUUGCAUUUCA
Molecule: long non-coding RNA, 1257 nt
Organism: Tyto alba (common barn owl)
Lineage: Eukaryota; Metazoa; Chordata; Aves; Strigiformes; Tytonidae
Exons: 2
Source: RefSeq, a predicted model, not a curated record